RNAcentral lists this ribosomal RNA (425 nucleotides) under uncultured bacterium. RNAcentral's name for it is "bacterial SSU rRNA". It matches the Rfam family "Bacterial small subunit ribosomal RNA", at positions 356 to 773 of the family's 1533-position model. The record is from RNAcentral.
AGGGAAUAUUGCGCAAUGGACGAAAGUCUGACGCAGCAACUCCGCGUGAAGGAUGGAGGUCUUCGGAUUGUAAACUUCUUUUAUUUGGGAAGAACAGCUAUUGUAGGUAAUGACAGUAGUUUGACGGUACCUUAUGAAUAAGCUCCGGCUAAAUACGUGCCAGCAGCCGCGGUAAUACGUAUGGAGCGAGCGUUACUCGGAAUCACUGGGCGUAAAGAGUUCGUAGGCGGAUUCGUAAGUCAGAAGUGAAAUUUUGGGGCUCAACCCCGAAACUGCUUUUGAAACUGCGUAUCUUGAGUGUGUGAGAGGAAGAUGGAAUUCCUGGUGUAGCGGUGGAAUGCGUAGAUAUCAGGAAGAACACCGGUGGCGAAGGCGGUCUUCUGGCACAAUACUGACGCUGAGGAACGAAAGCGUGGGGAGCAAAC